AACGAACGCUGGCGGCGUGGAUAAGACAUGCAAGUCGAGCGGGAACUUUCGCUGUAGCAAUACAGUGAAAGUUCUAGCGGCGAACGGGUGCGUAACACGUGGACAAUCUGCCUUAAAGUGGGGGAUAGCUCGGCGAAAGCCGAAUUAAUACCGCAUGUGAUGAGAGACGACAUCGUCUUGAAAUCAAAGCCGGGGGCGAACCCUGGCGCUUUUUGUAGGAGUCCGCGGCCUAUCAGCUAGUUGGUGAGGUAACGGCCCACCAAGGCUAUGACGGGUAGCUGGUCUGAGAGGACGACCAGUCACACUGGAACUGAGACACGGUCCA
Molecule: ribosomal RNA, 325 nt
Filed under: uncultured bacterium
Lineage: Bacteria
Description: bacterial SSU rRNA
Rfam family: Bacterial small subunit ribosomal RNA
Source: RNAcentral